GUGCUUGCUUCGGCAGCACAUAUACUAAGAUCGGAAUGAUACAGAGAUUAGCAUGGCCCCUGUGCAAGGAUGACAUGCAAAUUCAUGAAGUGUUCUGUAUUUUG
Small nuclear RNA from Fukomys damarensis (Damara mole-rat), 104 nucleotides. The record is from Ensembl. NCBI's taxonomy places the organism in Eukaryota, Metazoa, Chordata, Mammalia, Rodentia, Bathyergidae.